This 68-nucleotide transfer RNA is filed under the name Marmota monax (woodchuck). Its description in RNAcentral is "tRNA.Gly". The record is from RNAcentral. Lineage: Eukaryota; Metazoa; Chordata; Mammalia; Rodentia; Sciuridae.
GGAUUGUAGCUCAGUGGCAGAGUUCUUGCCUACCAUGUGUGAGUCACUGGGUUCGAUUCUCAGCACCA